GCGGAUGUAGCCAAGUGGAUCAAGGCAGUGGAUUUGUGAAUC
This 42-nucleotide transfer RNA is filed under the name Prunus dulcis (almond). Its description in RNAcentral is "partial tRNA-His". RNAcentral also lists the same sequence under 3 other names. The record is from RNAcentral. Lineage: Eukaryota; Viridiplantae; Streptophyta; Magnoliopsida; Rosales; Rosaceae.